GGGAUUGCCUUAGUAACGGCGAGUGAAGCGGCAAUAGCUCAAAUUUGAAAUCUGGCGCUUGCGUCCGAGUUGUAAUUUGUAGAGGAUGAUUUUGGUUAGGUACCUUUCGAGUUCCUUGGAACAGGACGCCUUAGAGGGUGAGAGCCCCGUACGAUUGGAUGCCGAGCCUCUGUAAAUCUCCUUCGACGAGUCGAGUAGUUUGGGAAUGCUGCUCUAAAUGGGAGGUAAAUUUCUUCUAAAGCUAAAUACCGGCCAGAGACCGAUAGCGCACAAGUAGAGUGAUCGAAAGAUGAAAAGCACUUUGAAAAGAGGGUUAAAUAGCACGUGAAAUUGUUGAAAGGGAAGGAUUUAUGACCAGACUUUUUCUAGGAGAAUCAUCCGGUGUUCUCACCGGUGCACUUCUUUUAGUUUAGGCCAGCAUCGACUUUCGGCGGCGGAUAAAAGCUUCAGGAAUGUAGCUCCUCUCGGGGAGUGUUAUAGCCUGUUGUAUAAUACGCUGCUGGGGGUCGAGGUACGCGCUUCUGCAAGGAUGCUGGCGUAAUGGUUAUCAAUCACCC
This 557-nucleotide ribosomal RNA is filed under the name uncultured fungus. Its description in RNAcentral is "eukaryotic LSU rRNA". It matches the Rfam family "Eukaryotic large subunit ribosomal RNA", at positions 71 to 650 of the family's 3401-position model. The record is from RNAcentral. Lineage: Eukaryota; Fungi.